Molecule: long non-coding RNA, 561 nt
Filed under: Homo sapiens (human)
Lineage: Eukaryota; Metazoa; Chordata; Mammalia; Primates; Hominidae
Description: HSALNT0027257
Source: RNAcentral
ACGCUUGGAGUUCACAAAUCCUGUAAUGUGUCGGUGGGGAGGGGGAUGCAUUUUAGAGUCAGGAGAUGUUGGAAUUUGCUUUGUGAAUGACGCAGACCACACUCAGAGACUGCAGUGCAGUGAUUCUCAAAGUGUGGCUCAGGGGCACCCCUGGGAAUCCCUGAAACCCUUUCGGGAAGUCUGUAGGUCAAAACUAUUUCCAUAACAAUACUAAAAUAUUAUUUGCUUUUUUAUUCUCAUUGUCUCACACAUGUGCAGUGGAGUUUGCCAGAUCUGUGCACUACUGCAAUCGAUUAAAUGCAGAAGUGGGUGGAAUUGUGCCCCCGUCUUGAAGCCCCCAGUACCUCAAAAUGUGACUAUACUUGGAGAUAGAACCUUUUAAAAGGUCAUGGAAGUAAAAUGAGGUCAUUUGGAUGGGCCCCAGUCCAACAGGACUCAUGUCCUUUAAGAAGAGAUUAGGGCACAGAUACACACAGCAGAAAGACCACGUGAGGACACAGCCACAGUACAGCCACCUCCUAGCCAAAGGACGACCUCAGAAUACACCAGCCCUGCCGACAC